UCAAAAUGUGCCAACUCCCAAUAAUUAACUGAGGGGCCAGCCGUUCACACUUGCUGGACAAGCUGCUGAGUUUUUAAGGCUCGAGUUCAACAUAAACUGAAGGCAAAAUGGGAACCGAUGACAUUACGGACAUUGAUGAUUAACAGGUGAUUACCACGCAGACACAGGUGCAUGCUCUUUGACCGGACUCACUGACCUGCUGAUGGCCUCCAUGUUGCCAGAGGGGUGGCUGAGUGGCGAGGCAGUGUCUGGGGUUUCUUGGCGAGCUGUCUCCAUUGGCUCUGGAUUGUGGCUUCUAAGCUCUGAGCUGAUUGUUGUUAUCAAAUCCCAUCAUGUGACCGAGCAGCGAGGCCACAUGCAGCAGGGGCUGUCUGAGAGAUGACCUGAGGCUAAUCAGCACCAAGGCAAUGCAGCAGAUAAGAAAGCAGGAAGUAUGUAUUGGAAAGGGUGACAUAUAGACUGUAGUAAACCAUAAUAACAAACCUCUUAAACAAGAACCAUUAAUCACAGACCACAAAUGUUAUUCUCUGUACCUUCUUUUUCCUCGGCCUCGCCUGAGGAAAGUUAGUGGAGGAUUUGUUCAGAAGUUCUGCAUGUUGUGGUGUUUCUUUUUGUUCUCUCUUGUAACAUGUAUUGGGAGAAAAUGCAAAAUGAAGAGAUUAAGAUUUAAAGUGCAGUUCAUAAAUAGUUAAAUAUGCAAGAAUGCAUUUACUAAAACAGCUGAUAGCAUUUUCAAAAAAGAAAAAUCCUGGACAAAUGAUGCAAGAUAAUACUAAUGAAUUUCUUUGAUGGGAAUGUAAUGAUAAUCAAUUACCUAAAGCAAUUACUUUGUUAGAUAUUUACUUUUCGCUUUAUGUUUUCAUAAAAGCUGACAUGCUACAGUAAACGCUCCACAAAAAAAAAAAAAAAACCAAUACUCCUGCAGUGCAGGUGAUGUCUAAAGACUCCUAUCCUGAGAAGAAAUGAUAACCUAUCAGUAAUCUCAGUUGUGUAAUUUUAAAUACACACCGACUGACCUGAUUACCAGUGCAGUCCGUAUGCACGAGUCAGCUGACACUGAUAACAUCUUUUAAAGCUCACAACCUAAACAGACGCACGCAGAAAGGGCUUUCGUGCUGGAGAACAAACUUUUCCAAAACACGGCCAUGUUACGUUAUUCACGUCACGCGGUGUUAAAAGAGACGGUGUCAGGGAAUUUGCAGGGGGUCAUGCAAGUUUGAACUGGGAAAGUCACGCAUCAACAUCAACACUGCGUUUCACAGCAGACAGAUAAAGACUUUCAUAUCAGGUACACCGUGGAGCAUAAAUGUAUAAGCAAAGACGCACACAUGCAGGCGUGCUGCUGUGACGCCGAUCGCACACCUUCGUUCUGGGAAUUGGUGUCGGUGGGUUUGCGUUGAGGGGACUGGGUGACUUCUUUGUGUCCGCAUCUGUCAUGUGCACCUCCUGGGCCCAGAAAGAGGUCACAAAGAAGAGGGUCACAUUUGUAAUGCACAUCAUACUGUACGAUACAUUAGCAAAAGGUCAUGCUUAACAGAGGACAUGCGUUCUUCACUUCCUACUGUUGUAACUGUUGCUUCAUCUCUACAGCGGCUAUGAACUAUGUCUUCAGGGAGUCAUUUCAUAAAACUCCCGGGUGUGUGCGUUUCUGCUUUGAGCCUUAACAACAGGGUUCAGAAUAGACUUUCACAGGUUGACGAUCUGAUCCGCACACAUCACACAUGCACUCACAUAAACACCUGCAUGCACACCUCCGGCUCAUCGGUAUUUCGUGACUGGAGGAAAAGGCAAAGAAGGAACGUCAGCAGCUGAGGGGCCUCGGUCAGCACGGUGUCAUGUGGCUGAGGAGAGUUACCCCGAGAGAGAGGAGGGGAGGCCAAAGACACAGACACCUAAAUCUGAGUGGCAUCGGGUCACAUUGCAUGCCAAUAACGGUCAUCAAUCAACGAUCAAGACGUUUGGCAUCGACAGGAUUAUUAUAAGAAAGGAUUUCUGUCCAAAAGCGCCAAUGUUUAGCCGUUAAAAUUGUGAUAUGAUAUUUGAAAAGAUAUUCAUGCUGCAGCUUUUGGAGCAAUGCAUAUUCCUCUAAUCUCGCCUUCUUUAGUGGAUUGGAACAAACUUUUGUUUUAUUCUAAAGACAUCAAAUAUGCCAUA
Molecule: long non-coding RNA, 2154 nt
Organism: Cyclopterus lumpus (lumpfish)
Lineage: Eukaryota; Metazoa; Chordata; Actinopteri; Perciformes; Cyclopteridae
Exons: 4
Source: RefSeq, a predicted model, not a curated record